GAGCGAUUUGGUUGCUCCUCCCCGUGCAGUUCGCCUUCACCACCGCUCACUCGACUGCCGCUCCUCCUCCAAUCUCCCUUCCCCAGCGACUAUCCCAAGAUGUUGUUGUCUCCUCCCUUCCUCUCUUAUCUCCACAGUCGGUGAGUUCCCCUGUCCCUUCUUGCCACUCCAUCCUACUCCCUCUAGCACUGGCGCAGAGCUCCUAACAGCAUGUGCUUUGAAAAAGCUUGAGAUGCAGCUCGCCGACGUGUGCUCGAUGCCACCCGUUCCUGGCAGUGUCCACAAAGCCGUUCUGUUUGCACGGGAAAGCGGUUCUGCAACUCGUCCCUGCAGUUCCUGGUCGUGGAUCCAUUUUCUUAACCUUUUUUAAUGUGAUGUAUCGGCGUAUUUUGCAUCAAAGUUUACUGCUCGGGGGUGCACUUCAGUCCGAUGGAGGGGCACGUGCAGCUCUGUUAUUUUAUUUUUGACCUGUUGUGCUUUGUUUGUUUUUGUGUAAAAAGAAGUCACGCUCGGGCCGCACUGCAGUCCGAUGGCGGGGCGCGUUCAGUGCUCUGUUGCUUCAGUGGGAGAAAAGGGAGUCCUAGUGUCGCCUCUAAACUCUUUUGGUGAUGCGGUUAUGUCCACCUACACGCACAACCCAAAAAAAGUGUCGAGUGGACUAUACGGUUGGUUGUUCCUGGGUUCAAUUCACUAAUGUGAGUGUGGCUGUGUAAAUGAAUGGAUAUGUAUGUGUUUGAAGCUCACUUUGUCCUCUCAUGCAAUUCACUAUAAAACUCCCUUGUGGUUCACUUGGUAAUCCGAAACAAAAACACCUCGGAAAGCAGCUCACUUCUCAUUACAUGUGGUUCACUUGCUC
Molecule: long non-coding RNA, 856 nt
Filed under: Triticum aestivum (bread wheat)
Lineage: Eukaryota; Viridiplantae; Streptophyta; Magnoliopsida; Poales; Poaceae
Description: long non-coding RNA (TAES_LNC022084)
Source: RNAcentral